Molecule: ribosomal RNA, 253 nt
Filed under: uncultured bacterium
Lineage: Bacteria
Description: partial 16S ribosomal RNA
Rfam family: Bacterial small subunit ribosomal RNA
Source: RNAcentral
UACAGAGGCCUCAAGCGUUGUUCGGAUUCAUUGGGCGUAAAGGGUGCGUAGGUGGCUUCGUAAGUCCGUUGUGAAAGUCAAAGGCUCAACCUUUGAAAGCCGAUGGAUACUGCGGAGCUAGAGUACGGAAGAGGCGAGUGGAAUUCCUGGUGUAGCGGUGGAAUGCGCAGAUAUCAGGAGGAACACCGGUGGCGAAGGCGGGUCUCUGGGCCGAUACUGACGCUGAGGAGCGAAAGCGUGGGGAGCGAACAGG